This is a long non-coding RNA of Salmo salar (Atlantic salmon), 952 nucleotides long. RefSeq lists it as uncharacterized. The record is from RefSeq and is a predicted model, not a curated record. Lineage: Eukaryota; Metazoa; Chordata; Actinopteri; Salmoniformes; Salmonidae.
CAGAGGUUCACGCAGGUCAGAUGUUUUGAUUUCUUUGUUUUGAACCUAACCUAAUAUACAGGUUGUGUAGGUUGGGUGGUCUUGAUGAGUUAACGUAAAGGCAGACGGGGAGAUCUUGAAUUUUCUCUAACAGGCCGGGUGCCUAUCAUGAUUGGCAGUUAGCGUCAGGGCAGAUAGAGCUGACAACCUGCUGUAAAAUAAUUUAUGUCAUUAUUUCAUAACGCAUUUAAAGUUGUUUAAAAAAUUGCGAAAUUGAAAGCUGUGAUUUUUUUUUUUUUAUCGAACUGAAACCUGAAGAGACCUCAAAAAGCACUAAUCGCUCAGCACUAGUGUGGGUGACCUUGAGACUGUGUGCGCGUUGUUAGUGCGGGUGAGAAGGCACUCGCUGUCUCACACUGAACCGACAAGAAAGCGGCUCUCUACACACUCAUGUGUCAAACUUGUGUUCAGGGGUAUUAUCAGGGGUACUGCGGGAGCAGACGUGACAGGACACCCCCACCCCCCUCUUAGGGCACCACCCGGCCUCCCACCUGGGCGAACCAGCCGAGACAUGGGCGCUGGGCAAGCCGGUUGGGGCGUGGAAGCGUGGAAGGAGCGUGAUGAGGGAUGGGAAGCCGCGGAGCCUACCAAGGCAAGGAAACCUCUCGAGCCAGCCAGAGCGUGGAAGCCCGACAGGCUGGCUAGGCACCCCCGGUUCCAUCGGUGGCGACCCAGAGCCGAUGUCACCACUAACCGGAACGCCAGUACUCCCCGAUGCUUCGUAUGUUGGCUUCUGCAUUCUGUCACAUGGAAUGACGCUGGAGAGACGAAGCAGGCAAGUGUUUCCAGGCAUUGGUUCAUGUGAGAGUGCCAGCAGCUCCAUCAGACACAGUCACAGCAAGAUAGCCGAGUCACACGUUAUUUACACCAUUGUACCCCAGAACUCUGUAUUAAAACAUUUACUUCUACCGGA